Molecule: ribosomal RNA, 562 nt
Filed under: uncultured archaeon
Lineage: Archaea
Description: bacterial SSU rRNA
Rfam family: Archaeal small subunit ribosomal RNA
Source: RNAcentral
GCGAUUCGCCCUUCGGGGUGCAGCAGGCGCGAAAACUUUACAAUGCGGGAAACCGUGAUAAGGGAACUCCGAGUGCCCGUAAAAUCGGGCUGUCCAUCUGUUUAAAUAACAGGUGAAGAAAGGGCCGGGCAAGACCGGUGCCAGCCGCCGCGGUAAUACCGGCGGCUCGAGUGGUGGCCACUAUUACUGGGCUUAAAGCGUUCGUAGCUGGUCUGUUAAGUCUCUGGGGAAAUCUACUGGCUUAACCAAUAGGCGUUUCAGGGAUACUGGCAGACUAGGGACCGGGAGAGGUGAGGGGUACUCCAGGGGUAGGAGUGAAAUCCUGCAAUCCUUGGGGGACCACCUGUGGCGAAGGCGCCUCACCAGAACGGCUCCGACAGUGAGGGACGAAAGCUGGGGGAGCAAACCGGAUUAGAUACCCGGGUAGUCCCAGCCGUAAACGAUGCGCGUUAGGUGUAUCGGUGACCACGAGUCACCGAGGUGCCGAAGAGAAAUCGUGAAACGUGCCGCCUGGGAAGUACGGUCGCAAGGCUGAAACUUAAAGGAAUUGGCGGGGGAGCAC